RNAcentral lists this ribosomal RNA (445 nucleotides) under uncultured bacterium. RNAcentral's name for it is "bacterial SSU rRNA". It matches the Rfam family "Bacterial small subunit ribosomal RNA", at positions 354 to 796 of the family's 1533-position model. The record is from RNAcentral.
GUGAGGAAUAUUGCGCAAUGGAGGCAACUCUGACGCAGCCAUGCCGCGUGCAGGAAGAAGGCGCUACGCGUUGUAAACUGCUUUUAACCGGGAAGAAACCCCAGGACGUGUCCUGGGUUGGCGGUACCGGAGGAAUAAGCACCGGCUAACUUCGUGCCAGCAGCCGCGGUAAUACGAAGGGUGCAAGCGUUAUCCGGAUUCAUUGGGUUUAAAGGGUGCGUAGGCGGAGCGUUAAGUCAGUGGUGAAAUCCUGCAGCUUAACUGUAGACUUGCCAUUGAUACUGGCGCUCUUGAGUGCGCUUGAAGUGGGCGGAAUGUGCCGUGUAGCGGUGAAAUGCUUAGAUAUGGCACAGAACACCAAUUGCGAAGGCAGCUCACUAAGGCGAUACUGACGCUGAGGCACGAAAGCGUGGGGAUCGAACAGGAUUAGAAACCCGUGUAGUCC